Molecule: ribosomal RNA, 806 nt
Filed under: uncultured Bacillota bacterium
Lineage: Bacteria; Bacillati; Bacillota
Description: bacterial SSU rRNA
Rfam family: Bacterial small subunit ribosomal RNA
Source: RNAcentral
AGGGAGUUUGAUCCUGGCUCAGGACGAACGCUGGCGGCGUGCCUAACACAUGCAAGUCGAGCGGAGACAUGCGACGGAACUGAAGUUUUCGGAUGGAAGUGAAGAUGUAUGUUUUAGCGGCGGACGGGUGAGUAACGCGUGAACAAUCUGUCCUUCACAGGGGGAUAACACAGCGAAAGUUGUACUAAUACCGCAUGAGACCACAGUACUGCAUGGUACAGGGGUCAAAGGAGCAAUCCGGUGAAGGGUGAGUUCGCGUCCGAUUAGAUAGUUGGUGAGGUAACGGCCCACCAAGUCGACGAUCGGUAGCCGACCUGAGAGGGUGAUCGGCCACAUUGGGACUGAGACACGGCCCAAACUCCUACGGGAGGCAGCAGUGGGGAAUAUUGGGCAAUGGGGGAAACCCUGACCCAGCAACGCCGCGUGAGGGAAGAAGGUUUUCGGAUCGUAAACCUCUGUCCUUGGUGAAGAGAAAGAGACGGUAGCCAAGGAGGAAGCCCCGGCUAACUACGUGCCAGCAGCCGCGGUAAUACGUAGGGGGCGAGCGUUGUCCGGAAUGAUUGGGCGUAAAGGGCGCGUAGGCGGCCCGGUAAGUCUGGAGUGAAAGUCCUGCUUUUAAGGUGGGAAUUGCUUUGGAUACUGUCGGGCUUGAGUGCAGGAGAGGUAAGUGGAAUUCCCAGUGUAGCGGUGAAAUGCGUAGAGAUUGGGAGGAACACCAGUGGCGAAGGCGACUUACUGGACUGUAACUGACGCUGAGGCGCGAAAGUGUGGGGAGCAAACAGGAUUAGAUACCCUGGUAGUCCCCU